Molecule: ribosomal RNA, 397 nt
Filed under: uncultured bacterium
Lineage: Bacteria
Description: bacterial SSU rRNA
Rfam family: Bacterial small subunit ribosomal RNA
Source: RNAcentral
AUUGAACGCUGGCGGCAUGCUUUACACAUGCAAGUCGAACGGUAACAGGGAGCUUGCUCCGCUGACGAGUGGCGAACGGGUGAGUAAUGCAUCGGAACGUACCCAGUCGUGGGGGAUAACGUAGCGAAAGUUACGCUAAUGCCGCAUACGUCCUGAGGGAGAAAGCGGGGGACCGAAAGGCCUCACGCUAUAGGAGCGGCCGAUGGAAGAUUAGGUAGUUGGUAGGGUAAAGGCCUACCAAGCCGACGAUCUUUAGCGGGUCUGAGAGGACGAUCCGCCACACUGGGACUGAGACACGGCCCAGACUCCUACGGGAGGCAGCAGUGGGGAAUUUUGGACAAUGGGGGCAACCCUGAUCCAGCAAUGCCGCGUGAGUGAAGAAGGCCUCGGUUGUAAG